CGGCGUGCCUAACACAUGCAAGUCGAACGAGAAAGCUCCUUCGGGAGUUAGUAGAGUGGCGCACGGGUGAGUAACACGUGGAUAAUCUGCCUGAUAAUCUGGGAUAACAUUUCGAAAGGGAUGCUAAUACCGGAUAAGCCCACAGCCUCUUCGGAGGCAGCGGGAAAAGAUGGCCUCUUCUUGAAAGCUAUUGUUAUCAGAUGAGUCCGCGGUCCAUUAGCUAGUUGGUAGGGUAAUGGCCUACCAAGGCAACGAUGGAUAGCUGGUUUGAGAGAAUGAUCAGCCACACUGGAACUGAGACACGGUCCAGACUCCUACGGGAGGCAGCAGUGGGGAAUUUUGCGCAAUGGGGGAAACCCUGACGCAGCAACGCCGCGUGAGUGAUGAAGGUUUUCGGAUCGUAAAGCUCUGUCAAGAGGGAAGAAACCUCCAACGGCUAAUACCUGUUGGAAUUGACGGUACCUCUAGAGGAAGCACCGGCUAACUCCGUGCCAGCAGCCGCGGUAAUACGGAGGGUGCAAGCGUUGUUCGGAAUUAUUGGGCGUAAAGCGCGUGUAGGCGGUUAGUUAAGUCUGAUGUGAAAGCCCCGGGCUCAACCUGGGAAGUGCAUUGGAUACUGGCAAACUUGAGUACGGGAGAGGGAAGUGGAAUUUCGAGUGUAGGGGUGAAAUCCGUAGAUAUUCGAAGGAACACCAGUGGCGAAGGCGGCUUCCUGGACCGAUACUGACGCUGAGACGCGAAAGCGUGGGGAGCAAACAGGAUUAGAUACCCUGGUAGUCCACGCCGUAAACGAUGGGUACUAGGUGUUGCGGGUAUUGACCCCUGCAGUGCCGAAGCUAACGCAUUAAGUACCCCGCCUGGGGAGUACGGCCG
This 873-nucleotide ribosomal RNA is filed under the name uncultured bacterium. RNAcentral's name for it is "bacterial SSU rRNA". It matches the Rfam family "Bacterial small subunit ribosomal RNA", at positions 40 to 888 of the family's 1533-position model. The record is from RNAcentral.